CUCUCUCUCUUGGAUGAUUCCAAUAUAACUCGAAUGUUGAAGACUCUUCUUAUCCUUUUCUUGAGCCAAUAGCAUCUCUUUUUCUUACAGCCACAGGUUGCUGAUUCAACACUCAUCAAGCUUCUAACCCCCCUUACAAGCUUGAAUGCUCGGCAUGGGAUGUGGUUUUCAAAAAGCCAAAGAGUUUAAGAUUUAUAAUUUCUCGAUCAAGUAAUUGAAUUAUUCUUUUUACCAAAAAAAAUAUUUACUAUCCGUCAGUCUUUAAAUUUUAUUUGUGUGACAGUCCCAGCCUUAAGACACAACUUCUGAAACAUAAUCUUCAUUCAUCAAUCGAGAGCCGUAAAAGGCUAGUAAGUAUGCGUUUUAUGGUGUCGACAUGAAUUUGUUGUCUAUAUGAUAUAUAUAUUAGACCUUUGAGUAUUAGAUAUUUCGAAGUUUCUCAACCUGCGUUGUCGGGUUUGGGAGGCCGGCACGAGCGAGUUCUGCGAAGUAAGCAGCGUCAGCGUUCGGCCAGCCUAUCACCCAUCCAAAUAUUCGUGCGCAAACUAGGUGUAACAGCGCGGCGGACAGCUCUCACCGCCCGCUUUGUUUUCCUUACUCAUUAGUUUAAGGCGAGUUAGUAUCGUACCUGCGCGUCUCCUUUUAAUGACCUGACGCUCCUUGCUUAUGGCUCAUCUGCCGAUGUGGGACUAAUCGUUCGGGCUUUAGACCCAAAUCGAGAGACGGGGAUUUUAGCCGGUACUGGUGGAGCACUAAUGCUACCCCGCGCUUCCCCUCAAACGACACGUUGUCGUUCGCACAUCUCUCAUCUGCCGAUGUGGGACUAAACCUUCUGAGCUUCGUUGCCCCCAUCCCGAAACCCUAGCUCUCCGAUCCUCCGGCUAAAUCCCUUUACCCAUGUCUGUGGCAGUAGUAGUAAUCUGAAGGAAAUUUUCUUCCGGUGGUCCAUUGGUUUUAAGUCGUCCGAUACACCAAGUAUGUUGUGCAGGUUUGUCUGCGCUUUGCAUUGCGUGCUGCAGAUUUACAUUUGGUGUCGUUCUGUUCUUUGAUACUUGUAACUCCUUUUCCUCCACACGGUAUUGCGCACAUAGUUAAUCAGCGGGCUGAAACUUUGAUUGCAGAGGGUGAAGAAGGUGGGAUCAAAAGGAUUUUGAGCAGCAUUCUAUGCCACUUAGUAUUUGACAUCUUUGAGUUGUUCUACCUCAACUUGAAUGCAAACUGAAACAUCAGGUAAAAAAUGGUGGCAACAGGAUACGCUUACUUAUCAUUGAUUCUACAUCAUAUUUCAUAACACCUAUCCUUGGAGGCAAAAAUUCACAAGGACUACUGUUGAUGAUUUCAACUGGAAUUCUGCUGAAGAAAAUAGCAAAUGAAUACAACCUGACAGUAACAUUGCAUAUUUUGUGCUUGGCUGCAUGAUUCCUGUUUCAUUUUUCUGUGAUGAAAUGCAUGCCUUUUUUUCCCCUAGUUUAUUUUGUUGCUACUGUUCUUAGAAAACUACCUAGUUUUAAUCUUGAAUGAAUAUAAACUACUAUUUCUUGUGUAGGACAUGUUCGUGAUCUGAGCUCCAGUUGUGUGUGGCACGACGAGUAGUCUGGAUCAAGCCUUAUGUAACUUGCUCCUAUCUGAAAUUUUAUGAUGAGAGAUCUACAAGGGAUGGGGACCGCAGGAAGGAAGUCGCACAUGAACGCACGAUCGUUGGACGUUAACAGCCACAAAGGAUUUCAAUUAUUGGUGCCCUCAUAAGAGUCGUCUUCGUCCUCCGCUGCCUCCAUCACGCGGAGUCGACAUGUUGGCUUUGCCCCUCUCGCAGGAGCCUAAGGUUGAGCGAGGAGGCACAGCGAUCUCGUUUUCAUUACACUGCCAUCCACAGUUCAGAUCACUGUGUGUUGUGCAAAAACAAAAAUAACAGGGUCUUCGACAAUGAAAUGGUUGAUUCUUCUGGUCA
Long non-coding RNA from Musa acuminata AAA Group (dessert banana), 1948 nucleotides. RefSeq lists it as uncharacterized. The record is from RefSeq and is a predicted model, not a curated record. The transcript has 6 exons. Lineage: Eukaryota; Viridiplantae; Streptophyta; Magnoliopsida; Zingiberales; Musaceae.